CAAAAUACCAAGGAGAAGCAGGACGGAUUGGAAGAGGUAGAAAGAGUUCUUUCUAGCAAGGAUGAGGCAGCAAAAAAUGAACAAGAGGGAGCUGCUGAGGAGCAUGAGGGAGAGAAAUGGGACAGAAAUGUUGCUGCUGAGAAGAAAGAGGAAGAGAAACAAGAUGCCAAGCUGACUGCUGAGGAAAAGGACAAAACACAUGAUGGAAAAGUGGCUGCUGAGAAGCAAGAGGAAGAGGAAGAGGAAGUGAACGAAAACGUAACUUCUGAGAAGAAUGAAGUGGGUGUGAUUGAAAGGGGAGUUUUUGAGAAGGAUGAUGAAAUGGAAACAAAGGGAAACACUACUGCUGGUAAACAAGAGGGAAAGAAAGACAAUCAAAUAGAUGAUAUAUGUAAACAUGAGGGACAAAAUAAAGGGACCAAACGAGCAAAUGCUGACAUAGAAGAGGCAGAAAAUGGAAGCGUGUCUAAUAAAAAAGAGAAGGAUGGCGAGGCGAC
Molecule: long non-coding RNA, 497 nt
Filed under: Sorghum bicolor (sorghum)
Lineage: Eukaryota; Viridiplantae; Streptophyta; Magnoliopsida; Poales; Poaceae
Description: long non-coding RNA (SBIC_LNC000279)
Source: RNAcentral